Molecule: non-coding RNA, 71 nt
Organism: Eragrostis curvula (weeping love grass)
Lineage: Eukaryota; Viridiplantae; Streptophyta; Magnoliopsida; Poales; Poaceae
Source: the annotation of a GenBank genome assembly
GGUUCUUGGUCGAGUGGUCAAGACGCCCGAGUGGCACCCUGCAGACCCAGGUUCGAUACCUGGUGGGACGA